Molecule: ribosomal RNA, 253 nt
Filed under: uncultured bacterium
Lineage: Bacteria
Description: partial 16S ribosomal RNA
Rfam family: Bacterial small subunit ribosomal RNA
Source: RNAcentral
UACAGAGGUCCCAAGCGUUGUUCGGAUUCACUGGGCGUAAAGGGUGCGUAGGCGGUCGGGUAAGUCUGAUGUGAAAUCUCACAGCUUAACUGUGAAACUGCAUUGGAUACUAUCCGGCUCGAGGAAUGGAGGGGAGACUGGAAUACUUGGUGUAGCAGUGAAAUGCGUAGAUAUCAAGUGGAACACCAGUGGCGAAGGCGAGUCUCUGGACAUUUCCUGACGCUGAGGCACGAAAGCGUGGGGAUCAAACAGG